AGAGUAAGGAUACGGGCGUACAGUGCCGACGGGACGGGGAGUUGUCCGCCGGACGAAAGCCGCAAGGGGGGAUCCCGCGGCUGCGGUCCGCAUCCUGCAUCCCGCU
This 106-nucleotide non-coding RNA is filed under the name human gut metagenome. RNAcentral's name for it is "THF riboswitch". It matches the Rfam family "THF (Tetrahydrofolate) riboswitch aptamer". From Rfam's summary of the family: THF riboswitch presents a pseudoknot that joins P1-P2 and the loop of P3 and two THF binding. The record is from RNAcentral.